AGAAGUUUGAUAUAGAGGUCAUGUGCUGGAUAUUUGUCACUCUUCUUGUGCCUCUGGGAAGGUCAGAGACAGGGCCAUGUAUCACCCUAAUAGGGUGCAGCUUCUUGGAGGGGGGUGAGUUCCCAGCAAUCUGGAUCUCCAGCACCGCCUGACACUGGGGCAGGAGAAGCGGCGGAGGGGCUUAUCCCCUUCAACGCAGAUGCCUCUGUGGAGUGAUGGGGUUUGGGAAUGACUCAUGGCCAGCAACUAUGGGCCUGUUCGCACUUUCCACCAUAGAAUGGGCUAAUUAGUCGAUUCU
This 298-nucleotide RNase P RNA is filed under the name Salvator merianae (Argentine black and white tegu). RNAcentral's name for it is "Nuclear RNase P (ENSSMRG00000000919.1)". It matches the Rfam family "Nuclear RNase P". From Rfam's summary of the family: Ribonuclease P (RNase P) is a ubiquitous endoribonuclease, found in archaea, bacteria and eukarya as well as chloroplasts and mitochondria. Its best characterised activity is the generation of mature 5'-ends of tRNAs by cleaving the 5'-leader elements of precursor-tRNAs. Lineage: Eukaryota; Metazoa; Chordata; Lepidosauria; Squamata; Teiidae. The record is from RNAcentral.